Molecule: RNA transcript, 4983 nt
Organism: Homo sapiens (human)
Lineage: Eukaryota; Metazoa; Chordata; Mammalia; Primates; Hominidae
Gene: ADAMTS7P1
Gene name: ADAMTS7 pseudogene 1
Exons: 24
Source: RefSeq, marked validated
AUGGUGUCUUAUCCACUGUCCUGGACUUUGGAGCACCUAGUGCCCCCUCACAGAAGUGUAACCGAGGGCCGGGCGGCACCGGAUAUCGUGCACCAGGUUCGCGUGGACGCUGGGGGGUCCUUCCUGUCCUGUGAGCUGCGGCCCCGCGCACUGCGCAAGCGGGAUGUAUCUGUGCGCCGAGACGCGCCCGCCUUCUACCCGCUGCAAUACCGCAGGCGCGAGCUGCGCUUCAACCUGACCGCCAAUCAGCACCUGCUGGCGCCCGGCUUUGUGAGCGAGAUGCCGCGGCGCGGCGCCCUGGGUCGCGCGCACAUCCGGGCCCACACCCCCGCCUGCCACCUGCUUGGCGAGGUGCAGGACUCCGAGCUCGAGGGUGGCCUGGCGGCCAUCAGCGCCUGCGACGGCCUGAAAGGUGUGUUCCUGCUCUCCAACAAGGACUACUUCAUUCAGCCCCUGGACGGUGCCCCAGCCUGGCCCAGCCAUGCCCAGCCCCAUGUGGUGUACAAGCAUCCGGCCCCGGAGAGGCUGGCACAGCGGGGUGAUUCCAGUGCUCCAAGUACCUGUGGGGUGCAAGCCUAUGGCACCUGGCUCUGCCAGCCAUUCUCCCUCCAGUGUCCAGACCAGGUGGCUGGCCUGUUUCACGACCCCAGCAUUGGGAACCCCAUCCACAUGACCAUUGUGCUCCUGGUCCUUCUGGAAGAUGAGGAGGAGGACCUAAAGAUCAUGCACCAUGCAGACAACACCCUGAAGAGCUUCUGCAAGUGGCAGAAAAGCAUCAACAUGAAGGGAGACGCCCACCCCCUGCAGCAUGACACUGCCAUCCUGCUCAUCAGGAAGGACCUGUGUGCAGCCAUGAACUGGCCCUGUGAGACCCUGGGCUUGUCCCAUGUGGUGGGCAUGUGCCAGCUGCACCGUAGCUGCAACAUCAAGGAGGACAUGGGCCUGCCGCUGACCUUCACUGUGAUGGCCCCUGCAAGCUCACUGGCCUCAAGAACAGUCUUGAGCACAGCUCCCGUACGACGCCGCUCCCCUCACCUGGUCCUGCUGCAGCUGCCAGUACAUCACCAGGUUCCUUGACCAUGGGUGGAGCCUGUGCCUGGAUGACCCGCCUGCCAAGGACAUCAUUGACUUCCCAUCAGUGCUGCCUGGGGUCCUCUAUGAUGUGAGCCACCAGUGCCACCUCCAGUAUGGGGCCUACUCUGCCUUCUGCGAGGACAUGGAUAAUGUCUGCCACACACUCUGGUGCUCUGUGGGGACCACCUGUCACUCCAAGCUGGAUGCAGCCGUGGACGGCAUCCGGUGUGGGGAGAAUAAGUGGUGUCUCAAUGGGGAGUGCAUACCUGUGGGCUUCCAGCCCGAGGCCAUGGAUGGUGGCUGGUCUGGCUGGAGCGCCUGGUCCAUCUGCUCACGGAGCUGUGGCGUGGGCAUACAGAGAGCCAAGCAGCAGUGCAUGCAGCCUAUGCCCAGAUACAAAGGCAGAUACUGUGUGGGUAAGCGGAAGCGCUUCCGCCUCUGCAACCUGCAGGCCUGCCCCGCUGGCCGCCCCUCCUUCCGCCACGUCCAGUGCAGCCACUUUGACGCUAUGCUCUACGAGGGCCAGCUGCACACAUGGGUGCCCAUGGUCAAUGACGUGAACCCCUGUGAGCUGCACUGCCGGCCCGCGAAUGAGUACUUUGCCAAGAAGCUGCGGGACGCCGUGGUUGAUGGCACCCCCUGCUACCAGGUCCGAGCCAGCCGGGACCUCUGCAUCAAUGGCAUCUGUAAGGUAACGUGGGGCUGUGACUUUGAGAUUGACUCUGGCACUAUGGAGGACCGCUGUGGCGUGUGCCACGGCAACGGCUCCACCUGCCACACCGUGAGUGGGACCUUCGAGGAGGCCGAGGGCCUGGGGUAUGUGGACGUGGGGCUGAUCCCAGCCAGCACACGUGAGGUCCGCAUCCAGGAGGUGGCUGAGGCUGCCAACUUCCUGGCACUGCAGAGCGAGGACCCGGAGAAGUACUUCCUCAAUGGUGGCUGGACCAUCCAGUAGAACGGGGACUACCAGGUGGCAGGGACCACCGUCACAUACGCACGCAGGGGCAACUGGGAGAACCUCACGUCCCCGGGUCCCACCAAGGAGCCUGUCUGGAUCCAGCUGCUGUUCCAGGAGAGCAACCCUGGGGUGCACUACGAGUACACCAUCCACAGGGAGGCAGGUGGCCAUGGCGAGGUCCCGCCGCCCGAGUUCUCCUGGCACUGUGGGCCCUGGACCAAGUGUACAGUCACCUGUGGCAGAGGUGUGCAGAGGCAGAGUGUGUACUGCUCGGAGCGGCAGGCAGGGCCCGUGGACGAGGAGCACUGUGACCCCCUGGGCCGGCCCGAUGACUGCCAGAGGAAGUGCAGCCAGCAGCCCUGCCCUGCCAGGUGGUGGGCAGGUGAGUGGCAGCUGUGCUCCAGCUCCUGCGGGCCUGGGGGCCUCUCCUGCCAGGCUGUGCUCUGCAUCCGCAGCGUGGGGCUGGAUGAGCAGAGCGCCCUGAAGCCACCCGCCUGUGAACACCUUCCCCGGCCCCCUACUGAAACCCCUUGCAACCACCAUGUGCCCUGUCCGGCCACGUAGGCUGUGGGGAACUGGUCUCAGUGCUCAGUGACAUAUGAGGAAGGGACUCAGCACCGAAAUGUCCUCUGCAUCAGUGACACCGGUGUCCCCUGUGACGAGGCCCAGCAGCCAGCCAGCGAAGUCACCUGCUCUCUGCCACCCUGUUGGUGGCCCCUGGACACACUGGGCCCUGAAGGCUCAGGCAGCGGCUCCUCCAGCCACGAGCUCUUCAACGAGGCUGACUUCAUCCCGCGCCACCUGGCCCCACGCCCUUCACCCGCCUCAUCACCCAAGCCAGGCACCAUGGGCAACGCCAUUGAGGAGGAGGCUCCAAAGCUGGACCUGCCGGGGCCCGUGUUUGUGGACGACUUCUACUACGACUACAAUUUCAUCAGCUUCCACGAGGAUCUGUCCUUACGGGCCCUCUGAGGAGCCCGAUCUAGACCUGGCGGGGACAGGGGAUCGGACGCCCCCACCACACAGCCGUCCUGCUGCGCCCUCCACGGGUAGCCCUGUGCCUGCCACAGAGCCUCCUGCAGCCAAGGAGGAAGGGGCAACGGGACCUUGGUCCCCGAGCCCUUGGCCUAGCCAGGCUGGCCGCUCCCCACCCCCACCCUCAGAGCAGACCCCUGGGAACCCUUUGAUCAAUUUCCUGCCUGAGGAAGACACCCCCAUAGGGGCCCCAGAUCUUGGGCUCCCCAGCCUGCCCUGGCCCAGGGUUUCCACUGAUGGCCUGCAGACGCCUGCCGCCCCUGAGAGCCAAAAUGAUUUCCCAGUUGGCAAGGACAGCCAGAGCCAGCUGCCCUCUCCAUGGCAGGACAGGACCAACGAGGUUUUCAAAUGAUGAGGGACCCAAGGGCUGCGGAGCACCCCACCUGCCCCCGAGACCCAGCCCCACGCUGCCCACUUUGUACCCGGUCAGCAGCACCCACUCCUCUCCUAGUCCUGACGUGGCGGAGCUGUGGACAGGAGGGACAGUAGCCUGGGAGUCAGCUCUGGAGGGUGGCCUGGGGCCUGUGGAUAGUGAACUGUGGCCCACUGUUAGGGUGGCUUCUCUCCCUCCUCCUCCCAUAGCCCCUUUGCCAGAGAUGAAGGGCAAGGACAGUCCCCUGCAGCCGGGGACUCCCACCUUCCCAACCCCAGGACCAGGCUUAUGGGACCUUCAGACUGUGGCAGUGUGGGGGACCUUCCUCCCCACAACCCUGACUGACCUCGGGCACACGCCUGAGCCUGCCCUGAACCCAGGACCCAAGGGUCAGCCUGAGUCCCUCAGCCCUGAGGUGCCCCUGAGCUCUAGGCUGCUGUCCAUGCCAGCUUGGGACAGCCCCGCCAACAGCCACAGAGCCCCUGAGACCCAGCCACUGCCUCCCAGCCUGGCUGAAGCGGGGCCCCCCACGGACCCGUUGGUUGUCAGGAACGCCGGCUGACAAGUGGGAAACUGGAGCGAGUGCUCCACCACCUGUGGCCUGGGUGCCCUCUGGAGGCCGGUGUGCUGUAGCUCCAGCCGGGAUGAGGACUGCGACCCCGCUGGCCGGCCCCAGCCUGCCCGCCGCUGCCACCUGUGGCCCUGUGCCACCUGGCACUCAGGCAACUGGAGUAAGUGCUCCCACAGCUGUGGCAGAGGUUCCUCAGUGUGGGACAUGCAGCAUGUGGACACAUGGGACCUCUGGCCACUGUGGCCCUUCCAUUGUCAGCCUGGACCUGCCAAGCUGCCUGUGCACUGGCCCUGCGGGGCCCAGCCCUGCCUCAGCUGGUACAUGUCUUCCUGGAGGGAGUGCUCCAAGGCCUGUGGCGGUGGUGAGCAGCAGCGUCUGGUGACCUGCCCAGAGCCAGACCUCUGCGAGGAGGCACUGAGACCCAACACCACCCGGCCCUGCAACACCCACCCCUGCACACAGUGGGUGGUGGGGCCCUGGGGCCAGUGCUCAGGCCCCUGUGGUGGUGGCAUCCAGUGGUCACACACUGGUCAAGUGUGUCAACACCCAGACGGGGCUACCCGAGGAAGACAGUGACCAGUGUGGCCACGAGGCCUGGCCUUGUGAGCUCCCGGCUGUGUGGCACCGAGGAUUGUGAGCCCGUCGAGCCUCCCCGCUGUGAGCGGGACCGCCUGUCCUUCGGGUUCUGUGAGACACUGCGCCUACUGGGCCGCUGCCAGCUGCCCACCGUCUGCACCCAGUGCUGCCGCUCGUGCUCUCCGCCCAGCCACGGCUCCCCCUCCCGAGGCCAUCAGCGGGUCACCCGCCACUGACGGUGCCAGGAUGCACAGACCGACCGACAGACCUCAGUGCCCACCACGGGCUGUGGCGGAGCUCCCGCCCCCUACGCCCUAAUGGUGCUAACCCCCUCUCACUACCCAGCGGCAGGCUGGGGAGCUCCUCCCCCUCGAAAAAGGUAUUUUUUUAUUCUAA